GUCCACGCCCUAAACUAUGAUUACUCGAUGUUGGCGAUACACAGUCAGCGUCUAAGUGAAAACGUUAAGUAAUCCACCUGGGGAGUACGCCCGCAAGGGUGAAACUCAAAGGAAUUGACGGGGGCCGCACAAGCGGAGGAGCAUGUGGUUUAAUUCGAUGAUACGCGAGGAACCUUACCUGGGCUUGAAAGUUAGUGAAUCUCGCAGAAACGCGAGAGACCGAAAGGACACGAAACUAGGUGCUGCAUGGCUGUCGU
This 257-nucleotide ribosomal RNA is filed under the name uncultured bacterium. Its description in RNAcentral is "partial 16S ribosomal RNA". It matches the Rfam family "Bacterial small subunit ribosomal RNA", at positions 793 to 1055 of the family's 1533-position model. The record is from RNAcentral.